AGCGAACGCUGGCGGCAGGCCUAACACAUGCAAGUCGAACGAAGUCUUCGGACUUAGUGGCGGACGGGUGAGUAACACGUGGGAACGUGCCUUUAGGUUCGGAAUAACUCAGGGAAACUUUUGCUAAUACCGAAUGUGCCCUUCGGGGGAAAGAUUUAUCGCCUUUAGAGCGGCCCGCGUCUGAUUAGCUAGUUGGUGAGGUAAAGGCUCACCAAGGCGACGAUCAGUAGCUGGUCUGAGAGGAUGAUCAGCCACAUUGGGACUGAGACACGGCCCAAACUCCUACGGGAGGCAGCAGUGGGGAAUCUUGCGCAAUGGGCGAAAGCCUGACGCAGCCAUGCCGCGUGAAUGAUGAAGGUCUUAGGAUUGUAAAAUUCUUUCACCGGGGACGAUAAUGACGGUACCCGGAGAAGAAGCCCCGGCUAACUUCGUG
Molecule: ribosomal RNA, 433 nt
Filed under: uncultured bacterium
Lineage: Bacteria
Description: partial 16S ribosomal RNA
Rfam family: Bacterial small subunit ribosomal RNA
Source: RNAcentral